This 484-nucleotide ribosomal RNA is filed under the name uncultured bacterium. RNAcentral's name for it is "partial 16S ribosomal RNA". It matches the Rfam family "Bacterial small subunit ribosomal RNA", at positions 30 to 507 of the family's 1533-position model. The record is from RNAcentral.
AUUGAACGCUGGCGGCAGGCCUAACACAUGCAAGUCGAGCGGAUGAAGGGAGCUUGCUCCUGGAUUCAGCGGCGGACGGGUGAGUAAUGCCUAGGAAUCUGCCUGGUAGUGGGGGAUAACGUCCGGAAACGGGCGCUAAUACCGCAUACGUCCUGAGGGAGAAAGUGGGUGAUCUUCGGACCUCACGCUAUCAGAUGAGCCUAGGUCGGAUUAGCUAGUUGGUGGGGUAAAGGCCUACCAAGGCGACGAUCCGUAACUGGUCUGAGAGGAUGAUCAGUCACACUGGAACUGAGACACGGUCCAGAUUCCUACGGGAGGCAGCAGUGGGGAAUAUUGGACAAUGGGCGAAAGCCUGAUCCAGCCAUGCCGCGUGUGUGAAGAAGGUCUUCGGAUUGUAAAGCACUUUAAGUUGGGAGGAAGGGCAGUAAGUUAAUACCUUGCUGUUUUGACGUUACCAACAGAAUAAGCACCGGCUAACUUCGUG